Molecule: ribosomal RNA, 474 nt
Filed under: Selenomonas sp. oral taxon 126
Lineage: Bacteria; Bacillati; Bacillota; Negativicutes; Selenomonadales; Selenomonadaceae
Description: bacterial SSU rRNA
Rfam family: Bacterial small subunit ribosomal RNA
Source: RNAcentral
GACGAACGCUGGCGGCGUGCUUAACACAUGCAAGUCGAACGGGAUAAUUUGAGAGCUUGCUCUUAGAGAAUCUAGUGGCAAACGGGUGAGUAACACGUAGACAACCUGCCGACAGGAUGGGGACAACAUUCCGAAAGGAUUGCUAAUACCGAAUGAAGUCGAGGGAGGGCAUCCUCCUUCGAUGAAAGAUGGCCCCUAUUUAUAAGCUAUCACCUGUCGAUGGGUCUGCGUCUGAUUAGCUGGUUGGUGAGGUAACGGCUCACCAAGGCGACGAUCAGUAGCCGGUCUGAGAGGAUGAACGGCCACAUUGGGACUGAGACACGGCCCAGACUCCUACGGGAGGCAGCAGUGGGGAAUCUUCCGCAAUGGGCGCAAGCCUGACGGGGCAACGCCGCGUGAGUGAAGAAGGUCUUCGGAUCGUAAAGCUCUGUUGACGGGGACGAACGUGCGAGAGGUGAAUAAUCUCUUGUAAGG